CUGGCCCUAAAUCUUGAUGUUCCAUCCUACCUGAACAUCCGCCCGAGAACUACGAGCACAAACGCUUAAAACUCUAAGGACUUGGCGGUGCCCCAAACCCAC
Molecule: ribosomal RNA, 102 nt
Filed under: vertebrate environmental sample
Lineage: Eukaryota; Metazoa; Chordata
Description: partial 12S ribosomal RNA
Source: RNAcentral